Molecule: ribosomal RNA, 654 nt
Filed under: Triticum aestivum (bread wheat)
Lineage: Eukaryota; Viridiplantae; Streptophyta; Magnoliopsida; Poales; Poaceae
Description: partial small subunit ribosomal RNA
Source: RNAcentral
AUGGCCCUGGCGGCGACCACAAAAAAGAAGAACAAAGCAAUGGCCCCGGCGGCGCAGGGGGAGUGGUUCAUCAUGUACGGCAUCCCCAAGGUGUCGGGUGAGAUGAGCAAGGAAUUCCCCAAUGCGGCCUUCACCUUCAACGAGGUUCCGCUCCUUUCCCACCUAACCGUCCCGGGUAACGUCGCUACCCCCGCCGGAAGCGUCGACUACCCGUACAUCGCAGCUACCGACGACUGCGGCCUCCUGCUGCUCUGCGGUUACACCGUUGUCGGGCUCACCUACUACAUCUGCGACCCGUAUUUCCGUAGGACGCUGGGCAUCCUCCCCUCCGACGGCGGCUUCAACAGCCGCCACUCCGUCGGCCUCAUCCGCAAUCGCCGCGGCAGUGGGAUCAUGGUGGCCAUGCUCAACACGGGGCUCUUCAGUACACAGGCCCGCAUCACACUCUCCUGCACGAUUGACCUGUGCGAGUGGGUCAACAAGGAGGCCGACUGCGGCCACAUCAGGGAGACAAAACCGUGCUGCUGGGAUGGCGUCCUCUCCCACGAGGGAUUCCUGUGGUGGUUCGACCUCUCUUCUUGUAUACUUGCCUGCAACCCCUUCCUGGAUAGACCGACGUUUUACCAAAUCAUGUUCCCGCAUGUCUCUGCUUAA